GUGACGAAGCGACGCCGCGUGUGGGAAGAAGGCCUUCGGGUUGUAAACCACUGUCGGGAGUUACGAAGUGUAAGGGUACUAAUAGUGUCCUUACUUGACAAAGGCUCCGGAGGAAGCCACGGCUAACUCUGUGCCAGCAGCCGCGGUAAUACAGAGGCGGCAAGCGUUGUUCGGAAUUAUUGGGUGUAAAGAGCACGUAGGCGGCCAUGCAAGUCUGUUGUGAAAGCCUUCCGCUCAACGGAAGAACUGCAGCAGAUACUGCAUGGCUAGAGUGCGGGAGGGGAGAGUGGAACUUCUGGUGGAGCGGUGAAAUGCGUAGAUAUCAGAAGGAACGCCGGCGGCGAAAGCGACUCUCUGGCCCGUAACUGACGCUGAGUGUGCGAAAGCUAGGGGAGCAAACGGGAUUAGAUACCCCGGUAGUCCUAGCCGUAAACGAU
Molecule: ribosomal RNA, 437 nt
Filed under: uncultured Planctomycetota bacterium
Lineage: Bacteria; Pseudomonadati; Planctomycetota
Description: bacterial SSU rRNA
Rfam family: Bacterial small subunit ribosomal RNA
Source: RNAcentral